CUUGUGCUUACAACCUGACUGUAAGCUCACAAAAAGUACAUCAAACAUCUGAAAAUUAAUUGACAUGAAAAAUUGGAUACUGUUUUGAAAAAAAGAAGAAAAACCAAGGAGUUU
Molecule: non-coding RNA, 114 nt
Organism: Pseudonaja textilis
Lineage: Eukaryota; Metazoa; Chordata; Lepidosauria; Squamata; Elapidae
Source: RefSeq, a predicted model, not a curated record